CGUAUCACAUUGAAACACCGUUUUCCAUAGGAUCACCGAAGUUAAGCAACGUCGAACAGGGUCAGUGCCUACAUGGGUGACCACUUGGGAAUAUCACGUGCUGUAA
Acanthosepion pharaonis is the source of this 106-nucleotide non-coding RNA. Lineage: Eukaryota; Metazoa; Mollusca; Cephalopoda; Sepiida; Sepiidae. The record is from the annotation of a GenBank genome assembly.